Molecule: ribosomal RNA, 253 nt
Filed under: uncultured bacterium
Lineage: Bacteria
Description: partial 16S ribosomal RNA
Rfam family: Bacterial small subunit ribosomal RNA
Source: RNAcentral
UACAGAGGGGGCAAGCGUUGUUCGGAAUUACUGGGCGUAAAGGGCGCGUAGGCGGCCCGCUAAGUCGAACGUGAAAUCCCCGAGCUCAACUCGGGAACUGCGUCCGAUACUGGCGGGCUUGAAUCCGGGAGAGGGAUGCGGAAUUCCAGGUGUAGCGGUGAAAUGCGUAGAUAUCAGGAGGAACACCGGUGGCGAAGGCGGGUCUCUGGGCCGAUAUCGACGCUGAGGAGCGAAAGCGUGGGGAGCGAACAGG